Molecule: ribosomal RNA, 301 nt
Filed under: uncultured bacterium
Lineage: Bacteria
Description: partial 16S ribosomal RNA
Rfam family: Bacterial small subunit ribosomal RNA
Source: RNAcentral
CAGUCGCCGCGGUAAUACGUAGGUGGCAAGCGUUGUCCGGAAUUAUUGGGCGUAAAGGGCUCGCAGGCGGUUUCUUAAGUCUGAUGUGAAAGCCCCCGGCUCAACCGGGGAGGGUCAUUGGAAACUGGGAAACUUGAGUGCAGAAGAGGAGAGUGGAACUCCACGUGUAGCGGUGAAAUGCGUAGAGAUGUGGAGGAACACCAGUGGCGAAGGCGACUCUCUGGUCUGUAACUGACGCUGAGGAGCGAAAGCGUGGGGAGCGAACAGGAUUAGAUACCCCAGUAGUCCCUGUCUCUUAUAC